UGAUAGUUUGAUUCUUGCUUGUUUUAUCGUUUUAAGGUAAUUUUACAUGUAAGGUUUUCCGUGUUAGUUAUAUUUCUCUAAAUGAGUGAUUAUUUUUAUUCUCAGUAUUUAGUUUUGGUUUGUUAAUUAUAUUUAUAUCCAGUUAAUCUUGAUAGUUCUGACUAAUCUUGUGCCAGCAGUCGCGGUUAUACAUGAAUGGACAAAUGAUAAUUAUUGGUUUAUAUUAUUUAUGUUUUAUUUAAUUUAUAUUAUUUUUUGUUAGGUGAAAUUUUAAUUUAUAUUUGGGUUUUGGUUUAUAAUAAUAUGUGAAAGUGUUUUUAAGACUAGGAUUAGAUACCCUAUUAUUUGCACCUUAAAUUUUUAACCUUAGUAUUAAUAGUUAUGUUCUUUAAAUUAAAAGAAUUUGGCGGUAGCUUAAUCCUUCCAGAGGAACCUGUCCUGUAAUUGAUAAUCCACGAUAAAUUUUACUAUUUUUGUAGCUUGUAUAUCUCUGUCAUUGAAUGUCUUAUUAGGGUAUUUUCGGUAAUCUUUAUUGAGUAAAAUGUCAGGUCAAGGUGCAGCAAUAAAAUAGUAGAGAUGGGUUACAUUAAUUUUAUUUGUGAAUUUAUACUUGUAAAAGUAUAAUGAAAUUGGAUUUGGAAGUAAUUUUUAUUAUUUAGUAAUUUUGAAUUUGGCUCUAAGCUAUGUACAUAUCGCCCGUCACUCUCAUUAUUAAGAUGAGAUAAGUCGUAACAAAGUAGGCCUACCGGAAGGUGGGCCUGGUAAUAAUA
This 770-nucleotide non-coding RNA is filed under the name Valleriola javanica. Lineage: Eukaryota; Metazoa; Arthropoda; Insecta; Hemiptera; Leptopodidae. The record is from RNAcentral.